This 255-nucleotide ribosomal RNA is filed under the name uncultured bacterium. RNAcentral describes it as "partial 16S ribosomal RNA". It matches the Rfam family "Bacterial small subunit ribosomal RNA", at positions 524 to 777 of the family's 1533-position model. The record is from RNAcentral.
UACAGGGGGGGGCAAGCGUUGUUCGGAAUUACUGGGCGUAAAGGGCCAGUAGGCGGCCAACUAAGUCACACGUGAAAUCCCCAGGCUUAACCUGGGAACUGCGUGUGAUACUGGAUGGCUUGAAUUCGGGAGAGGGAUGCAGAAUUCCAGGUGUAGCGGUGAAAUGCGUAGAUAUCUGGAGGAACACCGGUGGCGAAGGCGGCAUCCUGGACCGACACUGACGCUGAGGAGCGAAAGCCAGGGGAGCAAAGCGGG